ACGGAAGGCAGCAGUGGGGAAUAUUGCACAAUGGGGGAAACCCUGAUGCAGCGACGCCGCGUGAGUGAAGAAGUAUUUCGGUACGUAAAGCUCUAUCAGCAGGGAAGAAAAUGACGGUACCUGACUAAGAAGCCCCGGCUAACUACGUGCCAGCAGCCGCGGUAAUACGUAGGGGGCAAGCGUUAUCCGGAUUUACUGGGUGUAAAGGGAGCGUAGACGGCGAUGCAAGUCUGAUGUGAAAGCCCGGGGCUCAACCCCGGCACUGCAUUGGAAACUGUGUUGCUAGAGUGCAGGAGAGGUAAGUGGAAUUCCUAGUGUAGCGGUGAAAUGCGUAGAUAUUAGGAGGAACACCAGAGGCGAAGGCGGCUUACUGGACUGUAACUGACGUUGAGGCUCGAAAGCGUGGGGAGCAAACAGGAUUAGAUACCCUGGUA
RNAcentral lists this ribosomal RNA (434 nucleotides) under uncultured Lachnospiraceae bacterium. Its description in RNAcentral is "partial 16S ribosomal RNA". It matches the Rfam family "Bacterial small subunit ribosomal RNA", at positions 341 to 792 of the family's 1533-position model. The record is from RNAcentral. Lineage: Bacteria; Bacillati; Bacillota; Clostridia; Lachnospirales; Lachnospiraceae.